GUCAGUCUUUCCGCAGUAAAAGAGACAGCACCCAAGAAUCACCCAUCCACGUUCUUUUAAGUGGGAGAAAAAAAGAGAACAACUUUCUCCAUCUGUGAACAUUCAGCAAGGAAAACAUUCAGGGUGCGUUGAGGAGAACUGCUGCUUCUUCGCCCCUCCAGUUGCCACCCCCGAAUAGGCAUGAUCAGCAAAUACUCAGCACAGCGCUCUCUCGGCGGCAGAUGCUGAUGAGCACAGGGAACUAGUUACGAGGCUGCAACGUGACCGUCGCAUCUCCCAGUGAUGGCCUCAUCAGCUACGCAGCUGUGCUUGGGCUACUGUCACUGCAUCUAGCAACCAGUUCUGAGUGACGCUCCCCCCCCACUCCCCUGCCCCCCCCCUCUCCC
Long non-coding RNA from Esox lucius (northern pike), 386 nucleotides. Lineage: Eukaryota; Metazoa; Chordata; Actinopteri; Esociformes; Esocidae. The record is from Ensembl.